AACGAACGCUGGCGGCAUGCCUAACACAUGCAAGUCGAACGAAGGCUUCGGCCUUAGUGGCGCACGGGUGCGUAACGCGUGGGAAUCUGCCCUUUGGUUCGGAAUAACAGCUGGAAACGGCUGCUAAUACCGGAUGAUGGCGAAAGUCCAAAGAUUUAUCGCCAGAGGAUGAGCCCGCGUUGGAUUAGGUAGUUGGAGGGGUAAAGGCCUACCAAGCCGACGAUCCAUAGCUGGUCUGAGAGGAUGAUCAGCCACACUGGGACUGAGACACGGCCCAGACUCCUACGGGAGGCAGCAGUGGGGAAUAUUGGACAAUGGGCGCAAGCCUGAUCCAGCAAUGCCGCGUGAGUGAUGAAGGCCCUAGGGUUGUAAAGCUCUUUUACCCGGGAAGAUAAUGACUGUGCCGGGAGAAUAAGCCCCGGCUAACUCCGUG
RNAcentral lists this ribosomal RNA (433 nucleotides) under uncultured bacterium. RNAcentral describes it as "partial 16S ribosomal RNA". It matches the Rfam family "Bacterial small subunit ribosomal RNA", at positions 29 to 507 of the family's 1533-position model. The record is from RNAcentral.